Molecule: ribosomal RNA, 792 nt
Filed under: uncultured archaeon
Lineage: Archaea
Description: bacterial SSU rRNA
Rfam family: Archaeal small subunit ribosomal RNA
Source: RNAcentral
ACUGCUCAGUAACACGUGGACAACCUGCCCAAAGGUCCGGGAUAACCCCGGGAAACUGGGGAUAAUACCGGAUAGGUCACAAAUACUGGAAGGUUUUGUGGCCGAAACUUCCGGGGCCUUUGGAUGGGUCUGCGGCUGAUUAGGUUGUUGCCGGUGUAACGUACCGUCAAGCCUGUAAUCAGUACGGGUUGUGGGAGCAAGAGCCCGGAGAUGGAUUCUGAGACACGAAUCCAGGCCCUACGGGGCGCAGCAGGCGCGAAAACUCUACAAUGCAGGCAACUGCGAUAGGGGAACAUCGAGUGAUACUCAUCUUGGGUGUCUGUCCUCCCGUCUAAAAAACGGGAGUUAGCAAGGGCCGGGCAAGACCGGUGCCAGCCGCCGCGGUAAUACCGGCGGCUCGAGUGGUGGCCGAUAUUAUUGAGUCUAAAGGGUCCGUAGCCGGCUUUGCAAGUCUUUUGGGAAAUCCAGCGGCUUAACCGUUGGUCGUCCGGGAGAUACUACAUUGCUUGGGACUGGGAGAGGUAGGAGGUACUCAGGGGGUAGGAGUGAAAUCCUGUAAUCCUUUGGGGACCACCGGUGGCGAAGGCGUCCUACCAGAACAGGUCCGACGGUGAGGGACGAAAGCUAGGGGCACGAACCGGAUUAGAUACCCGGGUAGUCCUAGCCGUAAACGAUGCUCGCUAGGUGUCACAACAAUCGUGAAUUGUUGUGGUGCCGUAGGGAAGCCGUGAAGCGAGCCACUUGGGAAGUACGACCGCAAGGUUGAAACUUAAAGGAAUUGGCGGGGGAGCA